ACUACGGGUGGCAGCAGUGAGGAAUAUUGGACAAUGGACGCAAGUCUGAACCAGCAAUGCCGCGUGCAGGAAGACGGCUCUAGGAGUUGUAAACUGCUUUUGUAGGAGGGUAAACGCAGAUACGCGUAUCUUUCUGAAAGUAUCGUACGAAUAAGGAUCGGCUAACUCUGUGCUAGCAGCCGCGGUAAUACGGAGGAUUCAAGCGUUAUCCGGAUUUAUUGGGUUGAAAGGGUGGGUAGGCGGCAGGUUAAGUUAGAGGGUAAAGCCCGGGGCUCAGCUUCGGAAUUGCCUCUGAAACUGUCCGGCUAGAGUGUAGUUGCGGUAGGCGGAAUGUAUGGUGUAGCGGUGAAAUGCUUAGAGAUCAUACAGAACACCGAUUGCGAAGGCAGCUUACCAGGCUACUUCUGACGUUGAGGCACGAAAGCGUGGGGAGCAAACAGGAUUAGAUACCCCGGUAGUC
RNAcentral lists this ribosomal RNA (460 nucleotides) under uncultured bacterium. Its description in RNAcentral is "partial 16S ribosomal RNA". It matches the Rfam family "Bacterial small subunit ribosomal RNA", at positions 338 to 795 of the family's 1533-position model. The record is from RNAcentral.